This 754-nucleotide long non-coding RNA is filed under the name Triticum aestivum (bread wheat). RNAcentral describes it as "long non-coding RNA (TAES_LNC026601)". Lineage: Eukaryota; Viridiplantae; Streptophyta; Magnoliopsida; Poales; Poaceae. The record is from RNAcentral.
GCACACAACCAAUUGUUUUUUCAUUGAAGCUCCCAAAGUUCUUACAAAAGGAAGAAUGUGCCAUGAACUUGGCAAUAUUUGAACUUCCGGCAACUGUUAGCAUGAUAACUACAACACUUACCAUACAUGCACACAAAUAUCAAGAAAAACCUAGAUAGUUUGGACAGCAAGACAAUGCCUUCAAAAACGAUGCAACACUGAUUCGACAUUGUAGUCGGAACUCGCCAGUGGAAGCCGGAACACAAGUUACCUAGAUAGUGCCCACCUAUAUAUGGAACUCCACGACACCCCUCAUAAAUAUGAAAUGAUGCGCAAGUACUGUCAUUACAGAUGAACUGUUGGCCGAUGGGCCCUAGCUAACUCUGGCCACCAACACCAUGCUCAUCUGCCACUGCUUCUGCCUGAGGAGUAGGAAGAAGCGGCCGCGAAGACGGUGGGUUGUUCUUGCAGUUAGGGCACCCAUCGUGGGGACGAUGGUUCUCUGUGGUGGGAGCCGGAGGUGGCCGCGGUUGCCUUCCACCUGCACACAACGUAUGAUAUAGACCCCUGAUGUCCAUUGAUCACAGCAGAGCUUAGUGAGGGUAUGGACAAGCUGAUGCUUAAUUACCUCCCUGGACAAGCUCAACGUUGGCUGCACACAGGAUCAGCACUGCUACGACCAUCGCCCAGCACCGGGCGGACGAUGAGGAAGAUGACGCCGCUGGCUUCAACAUCUUUGAUAGUUGAUACUACAGUACCUUGUAGAUCUGUCUGU